This 301-nucleotide ribosomal RNA is filed under the name uncultured bacterium. RNAcentral describes it as "partial 16S ribosomal RNA". It matches the Rfam family "Bacterial small subunit ribosomal RNA", at positions 509 to 807 of the family's 1533-position model. The record is from RNAcentral.
CAGUCGCCGCGGGAAUACGAGGGGGGCAAGCGUUGUUCGGAAUUACUGGGCGUAAAGCGCACGCAGGCGGUCUGUCAAGUCAGAUGUGAAAUCCCAGGGCUCAACCUUGGAACUGCCUUUGAAACUAUCAGUCUGGAGUUCGAGAGAGGUGAGUGGAAUUCCGAGUGUAGAGGUGAAAUUCGUAGAUAUUCGGAGGAACACCAGUGGCAAAGGCGGCUCACUGGCUCGAUACUGACGCUGAGGUGCGAAAGCGUGGGGAGCAAACAGGAUUAGAUACCCCUGUAGUCCCUGUCUCUUAUAC